RNAcentral lists this transfer RNA (65 nucleotides) under Henicus brevimucronatus. Its description in RNAcentral is "tRNA-Arg". Lineage: Eukaryota; Metazoa; Arthropoda; Insecta; Orthoptera; Anostostomatidae. The record is from RNAcentral.
AAAUAAGAAGCAAUAUAUUGCAAUCAGUUUCGACCUGAUCAUUAGAUAAAUUUUAUCCUUAUUUA